AGAGUUUGAUCAUGGCUCAGAACGAACGCUGGCGGCAUGCCUAACACAUGCAAGUCGAACGAGACCUUCGGGUCUAGUGGCGCACGGGUGCGUAACGCGUGGGAAUCUGCCCCUUGGUUCGGAAUAACAGUUAGAAAUGACUGCUAAUACCGGAUGAUGACGAAAGUCCAAAGAUUUAUCGCCGAGGGAUGAGCCCGCGUAGGAUUAGCUAGUUGGUGAGGUAAAGGCUCACCAAGGCGACGAUCCUUAGCUGGUCUGAGAGGAUGAUCAGCCACACUGGGACUGAGACACGGCCCAGACUCCUACGGGAGGCAGCAGUGGGGAAUAUUGGACAAUGGGCGAAAGCCUGAUCCAGCAAUGCCGCGUGAGUGAUGAAGGCCUUAGGGUCGUAAAGCUCUUUACCAGGGAUGAUAAUGACAGUACCUGGAGAAUAAGCUCCGGCUAACUCCGUG
Molecule: ribosomal RNA, 452 nt
Filed under: uncultured bacterium
Lineage: Bacteria
Description: bacterial SSU rRNA
Rfam family: Bacterial small subunit ribosomal RNA
Source: RNAcentral